CGCAGCCGCGUCAAAUUCAGCGCUACCCCUCCGGUGGUCCCCGCUGGCCCAAUUGGCUGCCACAUUAAUUCUGUCGUCCAUGGGCCCCGCUUCCUGCGCGUGGAUUCCGGGGAUAAAGAUGUGCGACAGACAGGC
Small nucleolar RNA from Spea bombifrons (plains spadefoot toad), 135 nucleotides. RefSeq annotates it as small nucleolar RNA SNORA5. The transcript has a single exon. The record is from RefSeq and is a predicted model, not a curated record. NCBI's taxonomy places the organism in Eukaryota, Metazoa, Chordata, Amphibia, Anura, Pelobatidae.